Molecule: non-coding RNA, 23 nt
Filed under: Cricetulus griseus (Chinese hamster)
Lineage: Eukaryota; Metazoa; Chordata; Mammalia; Rodentia; Cricetidae
Source: RNAcentral
UAAAAAAUUCUGUACACAAAGGG